Molecule: ribosomal RNA, 468 nt
Filed under: uncultured bacterium
Lineage: Bacteria
Description: partial 16S ribosomal RNA
Rfam family: Bacterial small subunit ribosomal RNA
Source: RNAcentral
GACGAACGCUGGCGGCGUGCCUAGCACAUGCAAGUCGAACGGAAAGGCCCUGCUUUGGUGGGGUGCUCGAGUGGCGAACGGGUGAGUAACACGUGAGUAACCUGCCUUUGACUGUGGGAUAACUUCAGGAAACUGGGGCUAAUACCGGAUAGGAGCUCCUGCUGCAUGGUGGGGGUGGGAAAGUUUCGGCGGUUGGGGGUGGACUCGCGGCUUGUCAGCUUGUUGGUGGGGUAGUGGCUUACCAAGGCUUUGACGGGUGGCCGGCCUGCGGGGGUUGCCGGCCACGUUAGAACUGAGCUACGGCCCAGCCUCCUACGCGACGCAGCAGAGGAGAAUAUUACACAAUGGGCGGAAGCCUACUGCAACAACGCCGCGUGGGGUAUGACGGCCAGCGGUUUGUAUUCCGCAUUCGCCUGUGACGAGACGAGAAUGACGGUAAUGGGUAAAGAAGCACCGGCUAACUACGUG